AGGACGAACGCUGGCGGCGUGCUUAACACAUGCAAGUCGAGCGAUGAACUCUCUUCGGAGGGGGAUUAGCGGCGAACGGGUGAGUAACACGUGGGCAACCUGCCCUCAGCUCUGGGAUAACUCCUCGAAAGAGGGGCUAAUACCGGAUACGACUUCCUGCGGCAUCUUGAGAAGUGGAAAGUUUUUCGGCUGAGGAUGGGCCCGCGGCCUAUCAGCUUGUUGGUGGGGUAAUGGCCCACCAAGGCGACGACGGGUA
This 256-nucleotide ribosomal RNA is filed under the name uncultured soil bacterium. Its description in RNAcentral is "partial 16S ribosomal RNA". It matches the Rfam family "Bacterial small subunit ribosomal RNA", at positions 26 to 285 of the family's 1533-position model. The record is from RNAcentral.